Molecule: ribosomal RNA, 510 nt
Filed under: uncultured bacterium
Lineage: Bacteria
Description: partial 16S ribosomal RNA
Rfam family: Bacterial small subunit ribosomal RNA
Source: RNAcentral
GACGAACGCUGGCGGCGUGCUUAACACAUGCGAGUCGAACGAAGAGCGAUGGAAGCUUGCUUCUAUCAAUCUUAGUGGCGAACGGGUGAGUAACGCGUAAUCAACCUGCCCUUCAGAGGGGGACAACAGUUGGAAACGACUGCUAAUACCGCAUACGAUCUAACCUCGGCAUCGAGGAAAGAUGAAAGGUGGCCUCUAUGUAUAAGCUAUCACUGAAGGAGGGGAUUGCGUCUGAUUAGCUAGUUGGAGGGGUAACGGCCCACCAAGGCGAUGAUCAGUAGCCGGUCUGAGAGGAUGAACGGCCACAUUGGGACUGAGACACGGCCCAGACUCCUACGGGAGGCAGCAGUGGGGAAUCUUCCGCAAUGGACGAAAGUCUGACGGAGCAACGCCGCGUGAGUGAUGACGGCCUUCGGGUUGUAAAGCUCUGUUAAUCGGGACGAAAGGCCUUCUUGCGAAUAGUUAGGAGGAUUGACGGUACCGGAAUAGAAAGCCACGGCUAACUACGUG